AUUGAACGCUGGCGGCAUGCCUUACACAUGCAAGUCGAACGGCAGCACGGGAGCAAUCCUGGUGGCGAGUGGCGAACGGGUGAGUAAUAUAUCGGAACGUGCCCAGUCGUGGGGGAUAACGCAGCGAAAGCUGUGCUAAUACCGCAUACGAUCUAAGGAUGAAAGCGGGGGAUCGCAAGACCUCGCGCGACUGGAGCGGCCGAUAUCAGAGUAGCUAGUUGGUGGGGUAAAGGCCCACCAAGGCGACGAUCUGUAGCUGGUCUGAGAGGACGACCAGCCACACUGGAACUGAGACACGGUCCAGACUCCUACGGGAGGCAGCAGUGGGGAAUUUUGGACAAUGGGCGCAAGCCUGAUCCAGCAACGCCACGUGCAGGAUGAAGGCCUUCGGGUUGUAAACUGCUUUUGUACGGAACGAAACGGCCCUUUCUAAUACAGGGGGCUAAUGACGGUACCGUAAGAAUAAGCACCGGCUAACUACGUGCCAGCCGCCGCAGUAA
RNAcentral lists this ribosomal RNA (500 nucleotides) under uncultured bacterium. Its description in RNAcentral is "partial 16S ribosomal RNA". It matches the Rfam family "Bacterial small subunit ribosomal RNA", at positions 29 to 523 of the family's 1533-position model. The record is from RNAcentral.